CCCUUUGGGUUUGUUUACAUCGACAACUUAUCUAAAAUCGAGACGUUUUAAACCGGUAAAGGCAAUGUUAUUUUUAUUAAUUAAUUUUCCAAUCAAUUUGUGCAAUCAAUCAAUCAAAAUUAUUUUAUUUAUAAUUUAGUUCCUGCAUUUAAUUGUGUUUCUAGUUUUAAGUGCUGAAAUAAGUGAAAUUUUUCUACAAAAAAGUAAAUUUCAUUGUGUAACGUUAUGUAAGCCCUAUUCGUUUGAUUCUCUGCUUCCUUUGCUAUCUCAUUCUGUAUUUUUGUUUCUGCCUUUUACUUGGUGCUUAAUUUCAACAAUUAAAGUUCGUCAAGUGAUUUCUAAGGAUAAGCCAAAUCUCAAGAUAUUGACAUUAUUUUCUUCUGUUUGAGCAGUUAAUUAUUUCAAACAGCUUGAAAGUAAAUUUCUAUUAUAAUUUUUAAACGGAGAAAAGGCUGAUUGUUUGAAGGGAAAACAAUAUACAAGGGCGUUUGCAUGAAGCAGUUGUAACAGGCAACAAUCAAGAUUUUCAAAUCAUGAGUUUAUCAUCAUCAUUGUCAUUGGUUCUGUAUUUAUCAAUGGUCACAAGAACAACAGGAACAACAACAAAAUAACGUUUCAACAAAUCUAAAAGUGAAUACAAGAGGACAAAAAGGAGAGAAGCUCGAGACUAAAAAAGAGGACAAAAAAUGAAGAAAAACCUUAAAGACUUGACAAGGGUUUGGUCCACGAGUCCAAAGAAGACAAUGGACGUAAAAAGGAAAAAAAAUGUUUGAUUCUAUUUGAGAAAAGCAAAUCUCAUUGAUUCCUUUAAGGUGUCUUGUGCCUGUUUUUUUUCUUACCUUAUCUUCAUCUUCAUCAUCUUCGUCUUCCUUACUGAUGGUUUGUAAGAAAAUGCAAGUAAGAUGAAAAGGUUAAAACGGCUUCUCCAUUACUAUUUACUACUAAUAUUACUACCACGAAGUACACAUUGUCUAGGACAAGGAAAGAUUGAAAAGUGGAGGUAAAAGGUACGUGUCAGUGGCACACUCGUCAUGGGAAAAUAAUACUGACCUUUAGGUUGCUGGUGAAAGGUUGCUGGUUGCAUUCACCUUUUGUUAAUCUCUUAACCAUUGUAAAUUACAAUACAUGUAUAACUAUGUAUAUGUAUGUGUUUAUAUGAAGAAGAAGAAGAAAAAAAUAGUUAUAGUAAAGUGCCAUUAAUAUAUAUUAUUUAAAUGUAAAUACCUUAGCUUAUUGUGAUUGUAAUGAAAAAUUGGCAGGCAUUGUAUUCAGGUGAAUCAAAUAUUAUUUUUAAUCAUAGAUUUAUUGAAAUUUUAUAACAACAUUUAAAACGUAUAAACGUUUUCAACAUCUGAGAAGCAAUAAAGUGAUUCGGAUGAUAUCUUCAAUCAAUUUGAAAUCUUGUUUAA
Non-coding RNA from Tetranychus urticae (two-spotted spider mite), 1409 nucleotides. NCBI's taxonomy places the organism in Eukaryota, Metazoa, Arthropoda, Arachnida, Trombidiformes, Tetranychidae. The record is from RefSeq and is a predicted model, not a curated record.